GCCCUUAGAGUUUGAUGGUGGCUCAGAACGAACGCUGGCGGCAGGCUUAACACAUGCAAGUCGAACGAUAUAGUGGCAGACGGGUGAGUAACGCGUGGAAACGUGCCUUUCACUACGGAAUAGCUUUUGGAAACGAAAGGUAAUACCGUAUACGCCCUCCGGGGGAAAGAUUUAUCGGUGAAAGAUCGGUCCGCGUUAGAUUAGCUAGUUGGUGAGGUAAAAGCUCACCAAGGCGACGAUCUAUAGCUGGUCUGAGAGGAUGAUCAGCCACACUGGGACUGAGACACGGCCCAGACUCCUACGGGAGGCAGCAGUGGGGAAUAUUGCACAAUGGGCGCAAGCCUGAUGCAGCCAUGCCGCGUGAAUGAUGAAGGCCUUAGGGUUGUAAAAUUCUUUCGCCAGGGAUGAUAAUGACAGUACCUGGUAAAGAAGCCCCGGCUAACUUCGUGCCAGCAGCCGCGGUAAUACGAAGGGGGCUAGCGUUGUUCGGAAUUACUGGGCGUAAAGCGCACGUAGGCGGACUAUUAAGUCAGAUGUGAAAUCCCGAGGCUCAACCUCGGAACUGCAUUUGAAACUGGUAGUCUAGAGAUCAGGAGAGGUUAGCGGAAUACCGAGUGUAGAGGUGAAAUUCGUAGAUAUUCGGUGGAACACCAGUGGCGAAGGCGGCUAACUGGACUGAUACUGACGCUGAGGUGCGAAAGUGUGGGGAGCAAACAGGAUUAGAUACCCUGGUAGUCCACACCGUAAACGAUGAGUGCUAGUUGUCUGCAGGCAUGCCUGUAGGUGACGCAGCUAACGCAUUAAGCACUCCGCCUNGGAGUACGGCCGCAAGGUUAAAACUCAAAGAAAUUGAUGGGGGGCCCGCACAAGCGGUGGAGCAUGUG
RNAcentral lists this ribosomal RNA (884 nucleotides) under uncultured bacterium. RNAcentral's name for it is "bacterial SSU rRNA". It matches the Rfam family "Bacterial small subunit ribosomal RNA", at positions 1 to 943 of the family's 1533-position model. The record is from RNAcentral.